AAGCUGCUCUUUCGUACUACGUUGAACAGAAAUACCACACCGAUGCUCCAGUUUGCUACACCACAACCUACGCUAAACCUAGCUACAACACCUAAGCACUCAAGUACUACACCGAAGAAGCCGCACAUUACCGCAUAUUACACAACCACGUACGCUGCAAUAGUUUACUACACCGAGGAACCCUAGUAAUACUCUGCUCCAAGCUGCUAACUAUGGAUCAUAAUUACUACACCAGCAAGGCUCCCGAGUAUUUCCCCACUACUUACGCUGCUCCGACCUAUUCAACGAAGUUUCAACGUAUUCCUCUGCCCUGAGUUACUACAUAACUAAGGCACCUGAAGAUUACACCAUAACCUACGCUUCUCCAGCUGACUACAAGGUAACUUCUAAAUACUAGAGCUGAAUUUCAAUUUUGUUUUUUGUGUUCAGAUUUGUCGGUUAUUUUUUAAUAGAUACUAGUCAUCGGGAUUUGAUUGUUGAUGUUUAAUGAGAAAAUAAAUAUUUUAAUGCGGAUGUUUGUAUUUUGGUUGGAUCUUGUCUAUUUCACAUUUUGAAGGUGACUGCUGCUAUAGUCGAUCUUCAUAGGACAUAUCCUGGUGCUUGGACGGAAUUUCUUUUCAGGGUUCUGGCGUAACAAAGGAGUUCAUGGCAGACGUUGUGUUUUGCUCUUUCACAGGAAUUUUUGAAAGAAGGGAGAUGGAAAAAGAUUUUCUAAUGUCUUUGUAAGUAAUAGCCAAGUGACUGAUCAUUUGCGCAUGAGUGUAACUAUUCAAAGUUUAAGAAAUAAACUGUUUUAUUUGCUAAA
Long non-coding RNA from Daphnia pulex (common water flea), 805 nucleotides. RefSeq lists it as uncharacterized. NCBI's taxonomy places the organism in Eukaryota, Metazoa, Arthropoda, Branchiopoda, Diplostraca, Daphniidae. The record is from RefSeq and is a predicted model, not a curated record. The transcript has 3 exons.